CCAGACUCCUACGGGAGGCAGCAGUGAGGAAUAUUGGUCAAUGGGCGCAAGCCUGAACCAGCCAAGUCGCGUGAGGGAUGACGGUCCUAUGGAUUGUAAACCUCUUUUGUCAGGGAGCAAAGGCGUCCACGUGUGGACGAGAGGAGAGUACCUGAAGAAAAAGCAUCGGCUAACUCCGUGCCAGCAGCCGCGGUAAUACGGAGGAUGCGAGCGUUAUCCGGAUUUAUUGGGUUUAAAGGGUGCGUAGGCGGAGUGUCAAGUCAGCGGUAAAAUUUCGGGGCUCAACCCCGUCGUGCCGUUGAAACUGACGCCCUUGAGUGAGUGAGAAGUAAGCGGAAUGCGUGGUGUAGCGGUGAAAUGCAUAGAUAUCACGCAGAACGCCGAUUGCGAAGGCAGCAUGCCGGCUCCACACUGACGCUGAGGCACGAAAGCGUGGAUAUCGAACAGGAUUAGAUACCCCCGUA
RNAcentral lists this ribosomal RNA (464 nucleotides) under uncultured bacterium. Its description in RNAcentral is "bacterial SSU rRNA". It matches the Rfam family "Bacterial small subunit ribosomal RNA", at positions 331 to 792 of the family's 1533-position model. The record is from RNAcentral.